UGGGGAAUUUUGGACAAUGGGCGAAAGCCUGAUCCAGCAAUGCCGCGUGUGUGAAGAAGGCCUUCGGGUUGUAAAGCACUUUUGUCCGGAAAGAAAUCCUUGGCUCUAAUACAGUCGGGGGAUGACGGUACCGGAAGAAUAAGCACCGGCUAACUACGUGCCAGCAGCCGCGGUAAUACGUAGGGUGCAAGCGUUAAUUGGAAUUACUGGGCGUAAAGCGUGCGCAGGCGGUUUGCUAAGACCGAUGUGAAAUCCCCGGGCUCAACCUGGGAACUGCAUUGGCGACUGGCAGGCUAGAGUAUGGCAGAGGGGGGUAGAAUUCCACGUGUAGCAGUGAAAUGCGUAGAGAUGUGGAGGAAUACCGAUGGCGAAGGCAGCCCCCUGGGCCAAUACUGACGCUCAUGCACGAAAGCGUGGGGAGCAAACAGGAUUAGAUACCCUGGUAGUCCACGCCCUAAACGAUGUCAACUAGUUGUUGGGGAUUCAUUUCCUUAGUAACGUAGCUAACGCGUGAAGUUGACCGCCUGGGGAGUACGGUCGCAAGAUUAAAACUCAAAGGAAUUGACGGGGUCAUAGCUGUUUCCU
Molecule: ribosomal RNA, 585 nt
Filed under: uncultured bacterium
Lineage: Bacteria
Description: partial 16S ribosomal RNA
Rfam family: Bacterial small subunit ribosomal RNA
Source: RNAcentral